Molecule: long non-coding RNA, 93 nt
Organism: Drosophila grimshawi
Lineage: Eukaryota; Metazoa; Arthropoda; Insecta; Diptera; Drosophilidae
Rfam family: Bithoraxoid conserved region 6
About the family: Bithoraxoid (bxd) is a long non-coding RNA found in Drosophila. It silences the expression of the Ultrabithorax (Ubx) gene by transcriptional interference.
Source: Rfam
CCCACAGCCCGCCUCAUCAAGCGGUUCUCAUUUCAUUUUCAUGCGCAUUUAAUGGCGUCUGUUAUUGACUUUUAACGAGAUUUCCACUUCAGC